GUGGCGAGCGGCGAACGGGGGAGUAAUACAUCGGAACAUGCCCAGUCGUGGGGGAUAACACUUCGAAAGAAGUGCUAAUACCGCAUACGUCCUGAGGGAGAAAGCGGGGGAUCGCAAGACCUCGCGCGAUUGGAGUGGCCGAUGUCAGAUUAGCUAGUUGGUGGGGUAAGAGGCCUACCAAGGCAACGAUCUGUAGCUGGUCUGAGAGGAUGAUCAGCCACACUGGGACUGAGACACGGCCCAGACUCCUACGGGAGGCAGCAGUGGGGAAUUUUGGACAAUGGGGGCAACCCUGAUCCAGCCAUUCCGCGUGAGUGAAGAAGGCCUUCGGGUUGUAAAGCUCUUUCGGCAGGAACGAAACGGUGAGCUCUAACAUAGCUUGCUAAUGACGGUACCUGAAGAAGAAGCACCGGCUAACUACGUGCCAGCAGCCGCGGUAAUACGUAGGGUGCGAGCGUUAAUCGGAAUUACUGGGCGUAAAGCGUGCGCAGGCGGUUGUGUAAGACAGGUGUGAAAUCCCCGGGCUUAACCUGGGAA
RNAcentral lists this ribosomal RNA (537 nucleotides) under uncultured beta proteobacterium. RNAcentral describes it as "bacterial SSU rRNA". It matches the Rfam family "Bacterial small subunit ribosomal RNA", at positions 88 to 620 of the family's 1533-position model. Lineage: Bacteria; Pseudomonadati; Pseudomonadota; Betaproteobacteria. The record is from RNAcentral.